UGGGGAAUAUUGGACAAUGGGCGAAAGCCUGAUCCAGCCAUGCCGCGUGUGUGAAGAAGGUCUUCGGAUUGUAAAGCACUUUAAGUUGGGAGGAAGGGCAUUAACCUAAUACGUUAGUGUUUUGACGUUACCGACAGAAUAAGCACCGGCUAACUCUGUGCCAGCAGCCGCGGUAAUACAGAGGGUGCAAGCGUUAAUCGGAAUUACUGAGCGUAAAGCGCGCGUAGGUGGUUUGUUAAGUUGGAUGUGAAAUCCCCGGGCUCAACCUGGGAACUGCAUUCAAAACUGACUGACUAGAGUAUGGUAGAGGGUGGUGGAAUUUCCUGUGUAGCGGUGAAAUGCGUAGAUAUAGGAAGGAACACCAGUGGCGAAGGCGACCACCUGGACUAAUACUGACACUGAGGUGCGAAAGCGUGGGGAGCAAACA
This 427-nucleotide ribosomal RNA is filed under the name uncultured bacterium. RNAcentral's name for it is "partial 16S ribosomal RNA". It matches the Rfam family "Bacterial small subunit ribosomal RNA", at positions 355 to 774 of the family's 1533-position model. The record is from RNAcentral.